Molecule: transfer RNA, 52 nt
Filed under: Clostridium cylindrosporum DSM 605
Lineage: Bacteria; Bacillati; Bacillota; Clostridia; Eubacteriales; Clostridiaceae
Rfam family: tRNA
About the family: Transfer RNA (tRNA) molecules are approximately 80 nucleotides in length. Their secondary structure includes four short double-helical elements and three loops (D, anti-codon, and T loops). Further hydrogen bonds mediate the characteristic L-shaped molecular structure. tRNAs have two regions of fundamental functional importance: the anti-codon, which is responsible for specific mRNA codon recognition, and the 3' end, to which the tRNAs corresponding amino acid is attached (by aminoacyl-tRNA synthetases). tRNAs cope with the degeneracy of the genetic code in two manners: having more than one tRNA (with a specific anti-codon) for a particular amino acid; and 'wobble' base-pairing, i.e. permitting non-standard base-pairing at the 3rd anti-codon position.
Source: Rfam by way of RNAcentral
GAGCACCUGCCUUGCAAGCAGGGGGUCAGCAGUUCGAAUCUGCUUAUCUCCA